UACGAAGGGUGCAAACGUUGCUCGGAAUUAUUGGGCGUAAAGCGCACGUAGGCGGCGCAGCAAGUCAGGGGUGAAAUCCCGGGGCUCAACCCCGGAACUGCCCUUGAAACUGCAGUGCUAGAAUUCUGGAGAGGGUAGCGGAAUUCACGGUGUAGCAGUGAAAUGCGUAGAUAUCGUGAGGAACACCAGAGGCGAAGGCGGCUACCUGGACAAUUGCUGACGCUCAGGCACGAAAGCGUGGGGAGCAAAAGGG
This 253-nucleotide ribosomal RNA is filed under the name uncultured bacterium. RNAcentral describes it as "partial 16S ribosomal RNA". It matches the Rfam family "Bacterial small subunit ribosomal RNA", at positions 524 to 776 of the family's 1533-position model. The record is from RNAcentral.